Biomphalaria glabrata is the source of this 436-nucleotide long non-coding RNA. RefSeq lists it as uncharacterized. Lineage: Eukaryota; Metazoa; Mollusca; Gastropoda; Planorbidae. The transcript has 3 exons. The record is from RefSeq and is a predicted model, not a curated record.
AUUGGACUGUUGGCGAAUGAUCUGGAACAGAUAGGUUACAUUGAACUGUUGGCGAAUGAUCUGGAACAAAUAGGUUACAUUGAACUGUUGGCGAAUGAUCUGGAACAGAUAGGUUACAUUGAACUGUUGGUGAAUGAUCUGGAACAGAUAGGUUACAUUGAACUGUUGGCGAAUGAUCUGGAACAGAUAGGUUACAUUGAACUGUUGGCGAAUGAUCUGGAACAGAUAGGUUACAUUGAACUGUUGGCGAAUGAUCUGGAACAGAUAGGUUACAUUGAACUGUUGGCGAAUGAUCAGGAACAGAUAGGUUACAUUGAACUGUUGGCGAAUGAUCUGGAACAGAUAGGUUACAUUAAACUGUUGGCGAAUGAUCUGGAACAGAUAGGUUACAUUGAACUGUUGGCGAAUGAUCUGGAACAGAUAGGUUACAUUGAAC